This 23-nucleotide non-coding RNA is filed under the name Arabidopsis thaliana (thale cress). Lineage: Eukaryota; Viridiplantae; Streptophyta; Magnoliopsida; Brassicales; Brassicaceae. The record is from RNAcentral.
UUAUCGAUUGUGGCGGCGGCUCA